GACGAACGCUGGCGGCGUGCUUAACACAUGCAAGUCGAACGGAAAGGCCCUGCCUUUGUGGGUUGCUCGAUUGGCGAACGGGUGAGUAACACGUGAGUAACCUGCCCUUGACUUUGUGGUAACUUCAGGAAACUGGGGCUCUUACCGGAUAGGAUCUCCUGCUGCAUGUUGUGGGUUGGAAAGUUUCGGCGGUUGGGGAUGGACUCGCGGCUUAUCAGCUUGUUUGUGUGGUAGUGGCUUACCAAGGCUGUGACGGGUAGCCGGCCUGAGAGGGUGACCGGGCACAUUGGGACUGAGAGAGGGCGCAGAAGCCUACGGGAGGCAGCAGGGGGGAAUAUUGCACAAUGGGCGGAAGCGUGAGGCAGAAACGCCGCGUGCGUGAUAACGGGCUUCGGGUGGAAAACCGAUUUCGAAUGUAACGAAGAGUGAGUGACGGUAAUGGGUAAAGAAGCAACGGCUAACUACGUG
This 468-nucleotide ribosomal RNA is filed under the name uncultured bacterium. RNAcentral's name for it is "partial 16S ribosomal RNA". It matches the Rfam family "Bacterial small subunit ribosomal RNA", at positions 28 to 507 of the family's 1533-position model. The record is from RNAcentral.